AUGUCGUCAAUCCACCAGACCAUACUCGUGCAGGGGCUCGGACUCCUCCUUGAGGUGAUCCUCCACAUUGAACUUGUAGAGGACGAAGAAGAACAUCUGGCGCCACUUCCAGUAGUUGUUGGUUUCGAGACUGAGCUUGAAUGGGAUGUAAGAAGUAUUGCUGAUAUGAUGCAUGGAAGGAGCAGGGACAAGGGGACCUGGGUGAGGAAGCAGCGCCGGCGGGGGGUGAGGGCAUUGGAAGUAAGGUGCAACUCACGAAUGAUGCUAGCUUGGAAAAACGGAAACAAAGUGAAAAUACGGAAACCAAAACGGAAUAUUGUGAAAUGGAAAUUGAAAUGGGAAAACGUUUUCCGGUGGAGCAUCCAUGGAAACGGAUCUGUGAGUAUGAAACUUUCUGUUUUUACCAUGGCGGCCUGGGGCGGGGUGAAGACAACUGUGGCAUCCCCAAGCGAGCAGCUGCGACAAUGGGUGCGUGGGGCGCUCAUGCGGAACGUGAGAAGGAUUUGA
Molecule: ribosomal RNA, 507 nt
Filed under: Triticum aestivum (bread wheat)
Lineage: Eukaryota; Viridiplantae; Streptophyta; Magnoliopsida; Poales; Poaceae
Description: partial small subunit ribosomal RNA
Source: RNAcentral